Molecule: ribosomal RNA, 475 nt
Filed under: uncultured bacterium
Lineage: Bacteria
Description: bacterial SSU rRNA
Rfam family: Bacterial small subunit ribosomal RNA
Source: RNAcentral
GACGAACGCUGGCGGCGUGCCUAACACAUGCAAGUCGAGCGGAGACAUUAAGGAGCUUGCUCUGAAAUGUUUUAGCGGCGGACGGGUGAGUAACGCGUGAGCAACCUUUCUCUCAGUGGGGAAUAACACACCGAAAGGUGUACUAAUACCGCAUAAUGUGUACGGAGGGCAUCCUCUGUACAAGAAAGGGGAACCCGCUUUGAGAUGGGCUCAUGUCUGAUUAGGUAGUUGGUGAGGUAACGGCUCACCAAGCCUGCGAUCAGUAGCCGACCUGAGAGGGUGAUCGGCCACAUUGGAACUGAGACACGGUCCAAACUCCUACGGGAGGCAGCAGUGGGGAAUAUUGCACAAUGGGCGAAAGCCUGAUGCAGCAACGCCGCGUGAGCGAAGAAGGUCUUCGGGAUUGUAAAGCUCUGUCCUUGGGGAAGAAUAAAUGACGGUACCCUUGGAGAAGCCCGGCUAACUACGUGCAGCA